RNAcentral lists this ribosomal RNA (253 nucleotides) under uncultured bacterium. RNAcentral describes it as "partial 16S ribosomal RNA". It matches the Rfam family "Bacterial small subunit ribosomal RNA", at positions 524 to 776 of the family's 1533-position model. The record is from RNAcentral.
UACGUAGGUGGCAAGCGUUGUCCGGAUUUACUGGGCGUAAAGAGCGCGCAGGCGGUUAAUUAAGGCGAAUGUGAAAGCCCCCGGCUCAACUGGGGAGGGUCAUUCGAUACUGAUUGACUUGAAGGCAGGAGAGGGUAGUGGAAUUCCCGGUGUAGUGGUGAAAUGCGUAGAUAUCUGGAGGAACACCGGUGGCGAAGGCGGCAUCCUGGACCGACACUGACGCUGAGGAGCGAAAGCCAGGGGAGCAAACGGG